Molecule: ribosomal RNA, 391 nt
Filed under: uncultured Pseudomonadota bacterium
Lineage: Bacteria; Pseudomonadati; Pseudomonadota
Description: bacterial SSU rRNA
Rfam family: Bacterial small subunit ribosomal RNA
Source: RNAcentral
GCGUGUAGCAGUGAAAUGCGUAGAUAUGCGGAGGAACACCGAUGGCGAAGGCAGCCCCCUGGGAUGACACUGACGCUCAUGCACGAAAGCGUGGGGAGCAAACAGGAUUAGAUACCCUGGUAGUCCACGCCCUAAACGAUGUCAACUAGCUGUUGGGGCCUUCGGGCCUUGGUAGCGCAGCUAACGCGUGAAGUUGACCGCCUGGGGAGUACGGUCGCAAGAUUAAAACUCAAAGGAAUUGACGGGGACCCGCACAAGCGGUGGAUGAUGUGGAUUGAUUCGAUGCAACGCGAAAAACCUUACCUACCCUUGACAUGUCUGGAAUCCCGAAGAGAUUUGGGAGUGCUCGCAAGAGAACUGGAACACAGGUGCUGCAUGGCUGUCGUCAGCU